UCUUUAUUUUAUUUUUGUUUGGACCUUUACGUGGAAUCCAAUACCAUAUCACCGUUCGAUCUUAUGGUCAUAUCUUCUACACCGUUCGAUCAUCUUAUCAACAUGCGUCUCUCUUCACCAUUCUCAAUGGUCAAACGAUAUGAACCGUGGACUGGGUGCCUAAGGUUUGGACCGCUUUUAAUAAUCUGUCUCAAUAUGCUGAGCUGUGUGGUGCGGGUCACUAUCAAGUAUAUGCAUUUUAAUGGUCAUGAUCGAAUA
RNAcentral lists this long non-coding RNA (258 nucleotides) under Arabidopsis lyrata. RNAcentral's name for it is "long non-coding RNA (ALYR_LNC000253)". Lineage: Eukaryota; Viridiplantae; Streptophyta; Magnoliopsida; Brassicales; Brassicaceae. The record is from RNAcentral.